Molecule: ribosomal RNA, 372 nt
Filed under: uncultured bacterium
Lineage: Bacteria
Description: bacterial SSU rRNA
Rfam family: Bacterial small subunit ribosomal RNA
Source: RNAcentral
AGGCCGGUGCAAACGUUGCUCGGAAUUAUUGGGCGUAAAGCGCGCGUAGGCGGCUAUCUAAGUCGGAUGUGAAAGCCCCUGGCUUAACCGGGGAAGUGCACCCGAAACUGGGUAGCUAGAGUGCAAAAGAGGGUCGCGGAAUUCCCAGUGUAGAGGUGAAAUUCGUAGAUAUUGGGAGGAACACCGGUGGCGAAGGCGGCGACCUGGGUUGACACUGACGCUGAGGCGCGAAAGCGCGGGGAGCAAACAGGAUUAGAUACCCUGGUAGUCCACGCCGUAAACGAUGGGUGCUAGAUGUUUCUGGUAUUGACCCCGGAGGCGUCGUAGCUAACGCGUUAAGCACCCCGCCUGGGGAGUACGGCCGCAAGGCUA